CAAACAUACAAGGAAGGCCAAAAUUCAAGGUAGAGUUUGAGGAGUCAAUAUUUUUUUUUUUAUUAAUGAACCAAUUUCAAUAAUAUUACAUAUAAUAAAUGCUUAACAUAUAGAGAUUUGUUUGACUAGGUAUGGAAGAUGACAUCUUUUAAAUGAGCUCCAAUUGCAACAUCACAAAGUUUUUUUGAUUGCAUUGCUCACAACAUUAGUUAAUGUUUGAGGCUCUAGUGCUCAAAUUUCUGCCCGAUAACAAGAUGGUGCAUUGGGUAGGGUGCAAUUGGCCCUGAUAAAUGAACAGUGGAUUUUCUGUACCCCUGAAAUAACAAUUUUGCUUAUUGGCAAAGCCAUUAAAAUGAAAAUGAGCUUCGUCAAACAUGAUGAGUUGAUUAAUAAAAUAAUUGAUUUCUCUGGCUAAUUCGUUGUUCCUUCAUGAAAUUACCCGUGAUGACUCUCUCAAGACUCAGUUAUGUACCUGCAACAAAAAUGAAAUUA
This is a non-coding RNA of Pelobates cultripes (western spadefoot toad), 492 nucleotides long. Lineage: Eukaryota; Metazoa; Chordata; Amphibia; Anura; Pelobatidae. The record is from the annotation of a GenBank genome assembly.